RNAcentral lists this ribosomal RNA (306 nucleotides) under uncultured bacterium. RNAcentral's name for it is "partial 16S ribosomal RNA". It matches the Rfam family "Bacterial small subunit ribosomal RNA", at positions 507 to 808 of the family's 1533-position model. The record is from RNAcentral.
GACAGCAGUCGCCGCGGUAAUACGUAGGGUGCGAGCGUUGUCCGGAAUUACUGGGCGUAAAGGGCUCGUAGGUGGUUUGUCGCGUCGUCUGUGAAAUUCUGGGGCUUAACUCCGGGCGUGCAGGCGAUACGGGCAUAACUUGAGUGCUGUAGGGGUAACUGGAAUUCCUGGUGUAGCGGUGAAAUGCGCAGAUAUCAGGAGGAACACCGAUGGCGAAGGCAGGUUACUGGGCAGUUACUGACGCUGAGGAGCGAAAGCAUGGGUAGCGAACAGGAUUAGAUACCCGCGUAGUCCCUGUCUCUUAUU